This is a small nucleolar RNA of Dipodomys ordii (Ord's kangaroo rat), 132 nucleotides long. Lineage: Eukaryota; Metazoa; Chordata; Mammalia; Rodentia; Heteromyidae. The record is from Ensembl.
GGGGUGUGCUCAGAGCAGGGGUUCCAAAGAAUGGCUCUUCUGUUUAUAACACACCCAAUAGCAAUUUGUGGUCUUUUGUGAGGAAGAAAACAAAAAUGUGUGGCUUCCUAGGAAUAUAAAUGCCCUACAUGU